This 232-nucleotide unclassified non-coding RNA is filed under the name Hevea brasiliensis (rubber tree). The record is from RNAcentral. Lineage: Eukaryota; Viridiplantae; Streptophyta; Magnoliopsida; Malpighiales; Euphorbiaceae.
GAAAAUGUGGGAUCCGGUGAAGAACUCGCAAGGCAUGUCAUGAUGUCGGGAUGCAUCGAUGAAGCCACACGGAAAGGUGGCUACAAUCAAACUUUCUGGUCAGAUUUAACACACCACAGAAUCAAGAUUGAUUAACAUAAAGGACAGGGACGAGCCCUGCCAUUUUCCCGUCCCUUCCAGGGCGUUUCUUUUUCACAUAAAACCAGCCAUCUACUUCGUACUCGAUAUCAAC